This is a long non-coding RNA of Nerophis ophidion (straightnose pipefish), 6922 nucleotides long. RefSeq lists it as uncharacterized. The transcript has 3 exons. NCBI's taxonomy places the organism in Eukaryota, Metazoa, Chordata, Actinopteri, Syngnathiformes, Syngnathidae. The record is from RefSeq and is a predicted model, not a curated record.
UCGGUUCAUUUCGGUGCAAACAAACGAAUACGUCCGUGUUGCACCCGGACAAAAAAUAAAGGAGGACAGCCCGCUGCCGACAAUUAAUGAAGAAAAUUAGUCUCACCUGACAGAGCAGAAGCGUGGACGAGCAUCAGCAGGCAGCAACACGCCACCUGUCGCGACCACAGCAUCUUCUUCCUUCGUCGUUUCGUGAACGUCAGCCACUCCGGAAAGUCACAGCGAGCGUGUACAUAUCACAACUGUGUGAACAUGGAGACAGUGGCUGAGUGUGCCUGCUGUCAUGAGAUACAGGCAGUGGCCAGAACAAUGGAGCAGGAAGCGGUGGAGACGUGCAUCAUAGACCACCCUGGCUUUCAAUCUGCGUGUCUGGAUGAAUGAGUGCUGCAGACAGCGUAUUAGGCCUACAAACAGCAAUAUGGCGUGCUGCAGCAACAGCAAAAUGAGUGAGGCACUAAUAAGUUUGAAUAAUUCUUUAUUUUAUCAACCUUUGGAGGAUAAGUCAGAAUGAGCACUUUCUUUUCUUAUUCUUAUUCUGUGAAAUGUACUAUGCUACAAUGUACAUGGCAUCAUAUAUCAUAGAAGUAUUACAUACAUGGACCAUAGAUGUCAACAAUAUUUACAAUUUACUGAUUGAUUGGCAACACUAAAUUGGCCCUAGUGUGUGAAUGUGAGUGUGAAUGUUGUCUGUCUAUCUGUGUUGGCCCUGCGAUGAGGUGGCGACUUGUCCAGGGUGUACCCCGCCUUCUGCCCGAUUGUAGCUGAGAUACGCGCCAGCGCCCCCCGCGACCCCGAAAGGGAAUAAGCGGUAGAAAAUGGAUGGAUGGAUGGAUGCAACAGUAAAUGACAAAUGAAUAGAAUGCAUGACAAUGUCUUUUGCAUCUGAGAGAACAGUGAGUCACUUUGUAUCCAUGUCUGGAUAAUAACAGGUGCCAUAAUUUGCCAUCAACUAUUUUGUACUUCCAGGCGGGAUUGAUACACAGCAUAUCAACAGUUUGUCCGCUUCUGCUGGGGAUAUCUGGGAAAGGAGAUAAGGGUGGCACUACCAGCUUUUGUAGUACAUAAGAUUAAAACAACAUUUCCACGGGGUUCCAAGACGUGCAGUGACUGCAACAGAAUCCACAUGGCCACUGUAGUUAAAGGGGAACAUUAUCACCAGACCUAUGUAAGCGUCAAUAUAUACCUUGAUGUUGCAGAAAAAAGACCAUAUAUUUUUUUAACCGAUUUCCGAACACUAAAUGGGUGAAUUUUGGCGAAUUAAACGCCUGUCUAUUUAUCGCUCUCAGAGCGAUGACGUCAGAACGUGACGUCACAUAGGUAAUAAAGCCGCCAUUUUCUCAAACACAUUACAAACUGUUAUUUUCAGUUUUUUCCACUGUUUUCUGUACCUUGGAGACAUCAUGCCUCGUCGGUGUGUUGUUGGAGGAUGAAACAACACUAACAAGGAGGGAUUCAAGUUGCACCACUGGCCCAAAGAUGCGAAAGUGGCAAGAAAUUGGACGAAAUUUGUUCAAAAUACGAGGGUGGGGGGGAAAGCCGACGAAAUGGUCAGUCGUUUGUUCCGCACACUUUGCCGACAAAAGCUAUUCUACUACAGAGAUGGCAAGAUUGUGUGGAUAUCCUGCCACACUCAAAGAAGAUGCAUUUCCAACGAUAAAGUCAAAGAAAUCUGCCGCCAGACCCCCAGUGAAUGUGCUGGAGUGUCUGCAAAUUUUACCGGCGGUGCUAAGGCAGACAUGGCACAGAGAUGUAUGGAUAUCCCGCUGAUGCAUUUCCAACGAUAAAGUCAACGAAAUCACAAAGGUGAGUUUUGUUGAUGUUAUUGACUUAUGUGCUAAUCAGACAUAUUUGGUCGCGGCAUGACUGCCAGCUAAUCGAUGCUAACAUGCUAUUUAGGCUAGCUGUAUGUACAUUUGUAGCUAUAUUUGCAUCCUGCGUUUCCCUCCACCUACAUUUAAUGCCAAACAAACACUUACCAAUCGACGGAUUUAAGUUGAUCCAGUGUCACAAGAUGCGAAAGCCCCGAACGUUUGGUCUGCACAUUUUACCGGCGAUGCUAAGGCAGACAUGGCCGAAUAGCGUUAAAAGCUAUUCGCUCAAUAGCUUCACUUUCUUCUUCAAUUUAGUUUUCGCUAUCUCCAUACUCCAGCCAUCCGUUUCAAUACAUGCGUAAUCUGUUGAAUCGCUUAAACCGCUGAAAUCCGAGUCUGAAUCCGAGCUGAAGUCGCUAUAUCUUGCUGUGCUAUCCAUUUGUUUGUAUUGGCAUCCCUGGAUGAUGUCACAGGAAAAUGGACGGUGGCUUCACAGAUAGCGAAAAUCAAGCACUUUAAAGCCUUUUUUCUGGAUAUUCCGGAUGGGUAAUAUUUUGAAAAAAACUUCGAAAAAUAUAAUAAGCCACUGAGAACUGAUUUUUAUUGGUUUUAACCCUUCUGAAAUUGUGAUAAUGUUCCCCUUUAACGCUUAACAAAGCGACUCUUGUGCUUGGCGAUGGCUUCCUCCUUGUCUGGUUUCUCCAGUUCAUCGCAGAGGAAGGGAGGCACAUCCACGGUGACGCUGACUGGUGUUCUCUCGUCAGGGAUGUUGACAGCUGGUUGUCGGCCGCCAGGAGUUCCUGGAAACCACGAUCCCAAAUCUUUUAAACUCCCACCUCCCUUCCCUGCACGGAAGUAAAUUCUUCUAGGAGGUCUUGCUCACAGGCAUGUAUUGCAUGUAUAAUGUUUGAUAAACAUAAAUGUCAGUGAAGUUGUUUGAAAAAUGUUUGCAGGUUUGAUGUUGAGUCAUUGAGAAUGCAGAGUUAGAACGAGAAUUUAAAAAUAGUUCAGAAUUUUGGCUGUAACAACUAAAGUAAACUUUUCAGAGUAUUGUGCGUCGCAAAUUAUUUGCCACUUGCCAAAAUUAAACAUUUUAUUUUGCGAAAUGUACCUAGUUUUAAAGCUAUUUACUUAAAAGCCUACUGAAACCCACUACUACCGACCACGCAGUCUGAUAGUUUAUAUAUCAAUGAUGAAAUAUUAACAUUGCAACACAUGCCAAUACGGACGGUUUAGUUUACUAAAUUACAAUUUUAAAUUUCCCGCGGAGUUUCCUGUUGAAAAUGUCACGGAAUGAUGACGCGUGUUUGUGACAUUAUUGGUUGGAGGGAACAUUUUAGCCCAGCACCACACACGGCUAAAAGUCAUCUCUUUUCAUUGCAUAAUUACACAGUAUUCUGGACAUCUGUGUUGCUGAAUCUUUUGCAAUUUGUUGAAUUAAUAAUGGAGAAGUCAAAGUAGAAAGAUGGAUGUGGGAAUCUUUUAGCCUUUAGCCACACAAACACACGGUGUUUCCUUGUUUAAAAUUACCGGAGGUGAAGCUUAACUAUGGAUCAGAGCGGUCAAGCGAACAUGGAUCCCGACGACAUGUCGACCGGCAGUUUUCGGUGAGAAAAUUGUGAAAAUAAGUCGCCUCUUAUUGAAGAUCAGCGGAGCUUCUGUCGUGCUGCAGCUGAUUGUGACUUCCCUCAGAGACUCUGGCGUCAACACACCCGUGGCCACACCCCUUAAAUAGUAUCUAUCAGGUACUAUUUAACUCACGAAAACAAUAAUAACACAAUAGGCAGAUAAGGGAUUUCCCAGAAUUAUCCUAUGUGUCUAAAAACAUCUGAUUCGCUCCCAAUGCAGUCACCUUUUUUAAAUUUUUUUCUAGUCCGUCACUCUAAAUUUCCUCAUCCACGAAUCUUUCAUCCUCGCUCAAAUUAAUGGGGAAAUUGUCGCUUUCUCGGUCCGAAAAGCUCUUGCUGCUGGAGGCUCACAUUUUAAACAAUGUGAGGAUGUGAGGAGCCCUACAACCCGUGACGUCAUGCGCACAUCGUCUGCUACUUCCGGUACAGGCAAGGCUUUUUUAUUAGCGACCAUAAGUUGCGAACUUUAUCGUCGAUGUUCUCUACUAAAUCCUUUCAGCAAAAAUAUGGCAAUAUCGUGAAAUGAUCAAGUAUGACACAUAGAAUGGACCUGCUAUCCCCGUUUUAAAUAAGAAAAUCUAAUUUCAGUAGGCCUUUAACUUUAGUCACUGGUUUGACAUUAUAAUCUUCACUUUAGCGUGUAGUUUAAAAAUAUUAAAAUUGAGAAAAUAACUUUUCAAAUCAGAUAUUUUUCCUCCUACAUAGAAAAUUGUCCCGAAGGUGCUCAAUUUAAGAAUUCCAAGUUGAAUAAUGCUUGUUUUCAAAAUAAAAUAUUUAUUUUUAGCUUCAAAAUCCUGCUAAUUUCUAGAUAAACAGGAUUUCUUAUCAAGUAAAUGAACUAACUGCGCUGACAGAUAAUUUCACACAUUUUUUGUAUUUUUUCCCCAAAUCUAGUCUUUUUAGCUUAUAUUUUGUCAGCCUUUUUUUUUGCAAUGUGAGCAGUAUAUCCUGACCUCUUUCGACUUUUAGUACAAAAUGACGUAAACUAACUGCGAUGAAGUUGCAACUUGUCCAGGGUAUACCCCCCCUUCCGCCCUAUUGUAGCUGAGAUAGGCGCCAGCGCCCCCCGCGACCCCAAAAAAGGGAAUAAGCGGUAGAAAAUGGAUGGAUGGAUGGACGUAAACUAAGCUACACAUAUGCAUUUGUGUGUUGUCAGCUAUAAUGAUAGCGAUUUGGUAAAGACUAUAUUUUCUAACAUUAGCGGUCAUUGAAUGGAUAUUUUAUCAUAACAACAACAUACCUGCAAAUUGUUAGUUGCUUCUGUGGUACUACUUUGGUGUAUGUGCAUGCUCUGCAGGCGUGUGCAUGCUCUGCAGGCGUGUGCAUGCUCUGCAGGCGUGUGCAUGCUCUGCAGGCGUGUGCAUGCUCUGCAGGCGUGUGCAUGCUCUGCAGGCGUGUGUAUGCCCAGCAGGCGUGUGCAUGUGUACGAGACAGCUGUGAGUGACAACCAUGAAUUCCUGACAAAUUAAUCAGUCAAAAGUGCAAUUUUUAUUCAAUGUAAUUUGUAAUUGUGAACAGUUUUCAAAAAUGUUUUAAAAAUAUAUGUUCUGUUUAUCCACCAGCUAGGUGGUAUUUUGAUAUUACAUCAUAGAUUGUAAAAUGUAAGUUUGAGCAAGUCGCAAACAGCACAUUUAACAUUUUCCAAUUAGCCUUAUUUCAAACCUAAGCUGUGCCGGCGCUUUAUGAGACUGCCAUCUUGUGGCCAAAUAGCAGCAUUACUUAACAAGAGUUCACAAAAAAAACAGUGACAGUUAAGUUAUUUUAAUGAAAAAAAAGUAUAUAUACAUAUUAAAUUGAUAUAAUAAUACAAUAAAAUACAUUUUUAUUAUUUUUAUGAUUAUUGUCCUAAUUUAAUUCAAUUUUAUUAUGGCUGUCAAAAAUAAAAUGUUAACUCAUGUGAUUAAUCACAAAAAACAAUCACAUUAUUAAUUGACAUACGCAGAUCAAUCACACAAUUUAUUUUGAUUAUAUAUGUUCUGGUUGCCUGAAAGGCGGCACCGUUUGCUAUAGGGUCAGUGAUCAGAUCAUUGCAUAUACGUCAGUGCAAAUAUGACUGAAGAGACUCUGAUUGGUGUGCUUGUUUGCAAAUUUUACUUCAAAAUACACCCUUACUGGACUUUAAAUAAAACUGUUACCAAGUUUUAAAUAAAUAAAUUACAUGUAUUCAAGUUAAAACAGCUUUUUAAAUGUUUCUGUACGACAUUCUGACAAAAAACUGCAUUUGUGUCCAAAUAAUAAGGUCUUAUUUAGGUUAAUUUAAAUCAUGCAAGCGAGCAAUAACCUGUAAAUAAUCAUGAUUAAUCCAAAUUCAAUUUAAUUAUAUUUUAAAAAAUGGACAGUACUCAUUUUAAUAUAUUUACCUUCAUUUAUGAACUUAAUGUUACAAGUUAUUAAAAUAAAAACAAGACAUAAGUCAUAAUGUUUUUAAUGUUACAAUGUACUACUGUAAUGAAACAAACAAUGUAAUUAUUCCCAGGUUUAGUCUAUGUAUUUUUUGAUACAGUUUUAGGAGGGGAUAAGAAGAAAUAUUCGAUAAAUAAUAAAAACAUUCAUUUAUUAUCUUGAAAAUAUGUGAUUAUGUUUAUCACAAAUAUUGAGGUCAUAUGCAUGUAUUCUAAAUAAUAAUAGAUAAAAGAUCAUUUGUACUUACAGAAGCAGUGGUACUCUGUUUUAAUACACCUUUCCACCAUUUGAAGCUGUAAUGACAAUAUCAAACAAAAGGAAGAAGUCUGGAGUUAAAAUCAUAUACAUUUCUUAAGCGCAACAGUUAUGACUUAAGUUUUGAGGCUUUAUUUUCAUUAUAGCUUAAAUUUUAUUGACAGUUUAGUUAAUAAACAUAUUCAUUUAGUUUAUUUUAGCCAAAAUAAUUGUAUAUAAAUACAUUUUUAAUACUUAUUUUUCUAAUAAGCCUUACCUGAGUCAAAGGAUUAUGUGUUAUAUACAUGUUGUCAUGCCUGUAAAUCAGUUUGGUCAUGUUUAUGUUUUGUUUUUCCCGUUUUGCACUUCCUGGUUUUGUUUGUUUCCAUAGUUACUCAUUAGUUUCCACCUGGUCUCCAAGUCACGCCCCGGUCCUCAGCCUCACACCUGUUAGUAAUCAUCAUCACAGUCAUUAUUUAUACCAUUCUGUUUCUGUCCUCGCUCUGGGAAAUUUUCUUGCACACUACUUAGCUACCUACCGGACUUUGUAUUGAACCCUCAUGACCACGCACCUACCUUUCCUUGCUGACCUUCAUGCCUUGUCACGCUGCUAAUUGUUUUGACCACGCCACGUAAGAUUUUUGUUUGUAUUUAUGCCUCAGUGCAAGUUUUUGGUUUUUCGCAUCAUAGAUAGUAUCUUUUGUUUCAUUUGUAUAUAGCCAUGCCAUCGUGCUGUUUUUGUUUUCUUGAGUAUAGUCUAGUUUUUAUCCGCCAUUGAGCGCAUCCUUUGUUUUGUCUGUUUUGUAUUCUAGUGUGUAAAUAAAAUAAUCAUGUACUCACAUUCAC